ACCCACCAUUCAAGCAAAGCCUUUGUGUGGACAAACCAUUUCAGACAAAUCCAGUGGGAGGCAGUAAGUGGAAUGGAGAAAAAAAAACAAAAAAAUUGGAUUCAAAGCUCAGAUCCACCACUUAUUGACUAAAACUCUAAGCAAGUCGAUCUCCCUGAGGUUCAGGAUCCUUGAUAUGCCACCAUUUUCAGUCUCUGAACAGCCUAAAAUCUAAUUUUUGCCAGCUGAUCAAAUGGACUGUGAGGAGAAAAUCCAUAAAAUGCCAUAAGUACUAGAAGUUAAUUUAUGGACUCGCCUGAAAUGCAGAUGCUCAAUCUGAGUCCUCUGACAGCCUCACUAUUUUAAAAGCAAGUUGGAUCCAGCGCUCUUGAAGAUGGAGAGGCAGCCGAGAACCACCUUCCCUAAUUGCCUGAUGAAGACUCCUCUUGAGUUGAGACACCAGCUUACUGGUUAUUGUGUCUAAUGAGUA
RNAcentral lists this long non-coding RNA (469 nucleotides) under Homo sapiens (human). RNAcentral's name for it is "HSALNT0309151". The record is from RNAcentral. Lineage: Eukaryota; Metazoa; Chordata; Mammalia; Primates; Hominidae.